This 1149-nucleotide long non-coding RNA is filed under the name Macaca fascicularis (crab-eating macaque). Its description in RNAcentral is "lncRNA (ENSMFAG00000061208.1)". Lineage: Eukaryota; Metazoa; Chordata; Mammalia; Primates; Cercopithecidae. The record is from RNAcentral.
AUGGCCACCAGACCGAGGCUUUCUGGAAUGCAUUCAUUCUCUGCAGUUGAAAGGGAUGAUCCUGGAUCUGAAAGAAAGAGCCACAGUGACUCCAAGAGUGGAGCCAGGGCAUGCUGGACACUGCACAGCUAUGGCCAUGUGUGUCACCACCGAGGGAGAUGUGAGAGAAACGCAGAGGGAUUGCUUGUGACUGUGCCUUCUCGAUGUACGAUGGACCAUUCUGCUCAAAUACCUACAUCAUCCUGUGCAUUUCACAAAAUCCUAAUGAAAACUACACCAAGCUCAAAGUAGAGAUAAACAUAUCAGUGUUGACAGCCGUGAAACCACACUAUGCAAAGGCUACGAGCUCUGAGGAAUUCCUGUUAGCUACAGCACAUGAAGGAUCAAUGAAGGAAGAAAAUGAAGGCUCUUGGGAGAUAGAAUUAUGCCAGGACAAAGCUGAAGAAGAGCAACACGUGUCGGAAAUACCCUAAAAUUUGAAAGGUGCCAGGCUUGGAGGUGGGGCAGGCACCACCAGAAGAGAAAACUUCCCUUUGAGACUUUCUUUGCUUGUGACAAGAACAGCACUUGAUGCCCUUAGAAUAGUUCCUGGAACAUCUGAAUAAAUAUCUGUGGAAUGGUUGAAUCAGAGUUGGGGACUGGUGUUCAGCUGCGAGAGCUCUCAAUGGUAUGACCACAACUGAGGCUCCAACUGGCAGGGAGCUGCUGACUCCUGACGCUGCAGGAGCUGGUCUCUGGAUUAGGAGGUCCUGUUCUACUUCCAGUUGCAAAUAUUAUAUACAUUUGUGUGUCUGAGUGCAUAUAUAACCGCCUAACAAGUUCCCCUUGCCCACUGCCUAGACAGAGCUGGUUUAUCAAGACAGGGGAAUUGCAAUAGAGAAAGAGUAAUUCUUGCAGAGCCAGCUGGGAGGGAGACUGGAGUUUUAUUAUUGCUCAAAUCAGUCUCCGCGAGCGUUUGGGGAUCAGAGUUUUGAAAUAUAAUAUGGCGGGGGCUCAGGAAGUGGGGAGUGCCCAUUGGUCAGGUUGGAGAUGGAAUCACAGGGGGAUCAAAGUGAGGUUUUCUUGCUGCCUUCUGUUCCUGGGUGGGAUCGCAGAACUGGCUGAGCCACAUUACCGGCUUGGGUGGUUCUGAUGUUAGCAGCGGCCCAU